GAUGAACGCUGGCGGCGUGCCUAAUACAUGCAAGUCGAGCGAACAGACUAGUAGCUUGCUCCUCUGAUGUUAGCGGCGGACGUGUGAGUAACACGUGGAUAACCUACCUAUAAGACUGGUAUACCUUCGGGAAACCGGAUCUAAUACCGUAUAAUAUAUUUAACCGCAUGGUUCAAUAGUGAAAUACGGUUUUGCUUUCACUUAUAGAUUGAUCCGCGCCUCAUUAGCUAGUUGGUAAGGUAACGGCUUACCAAGGCAACGAUGCGUAGCCGACCUGAGAGGGUGAUCGGCCACACUGGAACUGAGACACGGUCCAGACUCCUACGGGAGGCAGCAGUAGGGAAUCUGCCGCAAGGGGCGAAAGCCUGACGGAGCAACGCCGCGUGAGUGAUGAAGGUCUUCGGAUCGUAAAACUCUGUUAUUAGGGAAGAACAAAUGUGUAAGUAACUAUGCACGUCUUGACGGUACCUAAUCAGAAAGCCACGGCUAACUACGUG
Molecule: ribosomal RNA, 497 nt
Filed under: uncultured bacterium
Lineage: Bacteria
Description: partial 16S ribosomal RNA
Rfam family: Bacterial small subunit ribosomal RNA
Source: RNAcentral